AGAGUUUGAUCCUGGCUCAGGAUGAACGCUGGCGGCGUGCCUAACACAUGCAAGUCGAACGAGUCGCAAGACUAGUGGCGAACGGGUGAGUAACGCGUAGGAAUCUGCCCCGAACCGGGAAAUACCCAGCCGAAAGGUUGGCUAAUGUCCCAUAGUCCCGCAAGGGUAAAGUUUCGGCGGUUUGGGAGGAGCCUGCGUCCUAUCAGCUUGUUGGUGGGGUAAUUGCCUACCAAGGCUUUGACGGGUAGCUGGUCUGAGAGGGUGGUCAGCCACAAUGGGACUGAGACACGGCCCAUACUCCUACGGGAGGCAGCAGUUGGGAAUCGUACACAAUGGAGGAAACUCUGAUGUCGCGACGCUGCGUGGAGGAAGAAGGCUUUCGGGUUGUAAACUCCUUUUGUCAGGGACGAUGAUGACGGUACCUGACGAAUAAGCACCGGCUAACUACGUGCAGCAGCGCGGUAAUAC
Molecule: ribosomal RNA, 468 nt
Filed under: uncultured bacterium
Lineage: Bacteria
Description: bacterial SSU rRNA
Rfam family: Bacterial small subunit ribosomal RNA
Source: RNAcentral